ACGGAGGAUCCGAGCGUUAUCCGGAUUUAUUGGGUUUAAAGGGAGCGUAGGUGGACAGUUAAGUCAGUUGUGAAAGUUUGCGGCUCAACCGUAAAAUUGCAGUUGAUACUGGCUGUCUUGAGUACAGUAGAGGUGGGCGGAAUUCGUGGUGUAGCGGUGAAAUGCUUAGAUAUCACGAAGAACUCCGAUUGCGAAGGCAGCUCACUGGACUGCAACUGACACUGAUGCUCGAAAGUGUGGGUAUCAAACAG
Molecule: ribosomal RNA, 251 nt
Filed under: uncultured bacterium
Lineage: Bacteria
Description: partial 16S ribosomal RNA
Rfam family: Bacterial small subunit ribosomal RNA
Source: RNAcentral